This 28-nucleotide small RNA is filed under the name Bombyx mori (domestic silkworm). Its description in RNAcentral is "ovarian small RNA-9572". Lineage: Eukaryota; Metazoa; Arthropoda; Insecta; Lepidoptera; Bombycidae. The record is from RNAcentral.
UUCCCGCAGUUGGCGCAGGAGAAUGGGC